RNAcentral lists this ribosomal RNA (442 nucleotides) under uncultured bacterium. Its description in RNAcentral is "partial 16S ribosomal RNA". It matches the Rfam family "Bacterial small subunit ribosomal RNA", at positions 338 to 795 of the family's 1533-position model. The record is from RNAcentral.
CCUACGGGUGGCAGCAGUGGGGAAUAUUGGGCACUGGGCGCAAGCCUGACCCAGCAACGCCGCGUGAAGGAAGAAGGCUUUCGGGUUGUAACCUUCUUUUGUCAGGGAAGAGUAGAAGACGGUACCUGACGAAUAAGCCACGGCUAACUACGUGCCAGCAGCCGCGGUAAUACGUAGGUGGUAAGCGUUGUCCGGAUUUACUGGGUGUAAAGGGCGUGUAGCCGGGUUGACAAGUCAGAUGUGAAAUCCUGCGGCUUAACCGCAGAACUGCAUUUGAAACUGUUGAUCUUGAGUACUGGAGAGGCAGAUGGAAUUCCUAGUGUAGCGGUGAAAUGCGUAGAUAUUAGGAGGAACACCAGUUGCGAAGGCGGUCUGCUGGACAGCAACUGACGGUGAUGCGCGAAAGCGUGGGGAGCAAACAGGAUUAGAUACCCGAGUAGUC